This 615-nucleotide ribosomal RNA is filed under the name uncultured Crater Lake bacterium CL500-26. Its description in RNAcentral is "bacterial SSU rRNA". It matches the Rfam family "Bacterial small subunit ribosomal RNA", at positions 8 to 665 of the family's 1533-position model. The record is from RNAcentral.
AGAGUUUGAUCCUGGCUCAGAGCGAACGCUGGCGGCAGGCCUUAACACAUGCAAGUCGAGCGCCCGUAGCAAUACGGGAGCGGCAGACGGGAGAGUAACACGUGGGAACGUACCCUUCAGUUCGGAACAACCCAGGGAAACUUGGGCUAAUACCGAAUACGUCCGUAAGGAGAAAGAUUUAUCGCUGAAGGAUCGGCCCGCGUCUGAUUAGCUAGUUGGUGAGGUAACGGCUCACCAAGGCGACGAUCAGUAGCUGGUCUGAGAGGAUGAUCAGCCUCACUGGGACUGAGACACGGCCCAGACUCCUACGGGAGGCAGCAGUGGGGAAUAUUGGACAAUGGGCGCAAGCCUGAUCCAGCCAUGCCGCGUGGAUGAUGAAGGCCCUAGGGUUGUAAAGUCCUUUCGGCGGGGAAGAUAAUGACGGUACCCGCAGAAGAAGCCCCGGCUAACUUCGUGCCAGCAGCCGCGGUAAUACGAAGGGGGCUAGCGUUGCUCGGAAUCACUGGGCGUAAAGCGCACGUAGGCGGACUCUUAAGUCGGUGGUGAAAUCCUGGAGCUCAACUCCAGAACUGCCUUCGGAUACUGAGAGUCUUGAGUCCGGGAGAGGUGAGUGGA